Acanthosepion pharaonis is the source of this 83-nucleotide non-coding RNA. The record is from the annotation of a GenBank genome assembly. Lineage: Eukaryota; Metazoa; Mollusca; Cephalopoda; Sepiida; Sepiidae.
CCCUUCGAUCACCGAAGUUAAGUAACGUCGAGCCCGGUCAUUACCGAGAUGGGUGACCGCUUGGGAAUACCAGGUGGUGCAAG